This 254-nucleotide ribosomal RNA is filed under the name uncultured bacterium. Its description in RNAcentral is "partial 16S ribosomal RNA". It matches the Rfam family "Bacterial small subunit ribosomal RNA", at positions 524 to 776 of the family's 1533-position model. The record is from RNAcentral.
UACGGAGGGUGCGAGCGUUGUCCGGAAUCAUUGGGCGUAAAGGGCGCGUAGGUGGCCCGGUCAGUUCGUGGUGAAAGCGCGGGGCUCAACCCUGCGUCGGCCAUGAAUACUGCCGCGGCUGGAGCACUGUAGAGGCAGGCGGAAUUCCGGGUGUAGCGGUGGAAUGCGUAGAGAUCCGGAAGAACACCGGUGGCGAAGGCGGCCUGCUGGGCAGUUGCUGACGCUGAGGAGCGAAAGCGUGGGGAGCGAACAGG